UACCCGUGCCCCGGUACCGGGGCCACGUCUGCCUAAGCUAUUCAACGUGCACAGCCCCCUAUGAAGGCCCAGCACUGGCCCCGGUGUCGGGGUGACACGGCCCCGGUGCCGGGGUGGGUGC
This 121-nucleotide microRNA precursor is filed under the name Salicornia europaea (common glasswort). RNAcentral describes it as "miR11033 stem-loop (seu-MIR11033)". The record is from miRBase by way of RNAcentral. Lineage: Eukaryota; Viridiplantae; Streptophyta; Magnoliopsida; Caryophyllales; Amaranthaceae.